Molecule: ribosomal RNA, 371 nt
Filed under: uncultured bacterium
Lineage: Bacteria
Description: bacterial SSU rRNA
Rfam family: Bacterial small subunit ribosomal RNA
Source: RNAcentral
AACGAACGCUGGCGGCAGGCUUAACACAUGCAAGUCGAACGCGUGUAGCAAUACACGAGUGGCGCACGGGUGAGUAACGCGUGGAUAUCUGCCUUUUGGUUCGGAAUAACCCCGGGAAACUGGGGCUAAUACCGGAUGGUUCCUUCGGGAUAAAGAUUUAUCGCCAAAAGAUGAGUCCGCGUACGAUUAGCUAGUUGGUGAGGUAAUGGCUCACCAAGGCGACGAUCGUUAGCUGGCUGAGAGGACGAUCAGCCACACUGGGACUGAGACACGGCCCAGACUCCUACGGGAGGCAGCAGUGGGGAAUAUUGGACAAUGGGCGAAAGCCUGAUCCAGCCAUGCCGCGUGAGUGAUGAAGGCCCUCGGGUCGU